This 95-nucleotide microRNA precursor is filed under the name Pelobates cultripes (western spadefoot toad). The record is from RNAcentral. Lineage: Eukaryota; Metazoa; Chordata; Amphibia; Anura; Pelobatidae.
UGGUAUUUGGGAGUUUAAUCACUUUGUUUAUACAGCUUAUAUAACUAAAUAUUAUAUAAGCUGUAUAAACAAAGUGAUUAAACUCCCAAAUACCG